AUGGACGCCCCGCAGGCUGUGCCCAGCCGUCCCUCCCUGCUCCAGCUCCUCAGGGGGCUCUUCGGCUACCACCGAAGCGCUCUGGGGACACAGGGGCCCAGAGCGGAGCGCCAAGAGCCGGGCACCACCGGGGACCCUGGCAGUUCGCAGGGGGAGCGGGUCUCACCUGCCCGCAGGGAGCCCGGGGGCCAGCAGGGCCCGUACUGGGAGCCCCUGGGGGAUGCGGAGAGGGAGGGCACGGAGCUGCUGCGGGAGCUGCGGGAGCUCAGCCUGGGGGGCUCCCUGGGGAGCAGCAGGAGCUGCCUGAGCGCCGGCACCAGCGACACUGAGCUGGAGGUGGCCGGUGACGGGCAGGAGGCUCCUGCUGGCGGCGGGGCCCAGCAGGAUGCAGCUGGCGGGGUGGCCCCGGCAGAAGCUUUCGGGGACAAAGCUCUGGAGAUGGAUGGGCUCCUCCAAGGUCCGGGUGCUGCUGCUGAAGACAUUACGGGCUCUGCAAGUCCCGAGCUGACAUUUUCUGCGGGCUUUGAUGCUGAAUGGGACAAAGGGCAGCUCCUGAAAGCCUCACGUCUCGGGCAGUUCGCUGGGACUGGAGAGCGAAGAGGAGCCGCUUUUGGAGGCGGCUGACGGCAGCCCCGCGACGCUGGAGCUGCGCGCAGAGCCCCGCGGCGCGCUCCCUGCCUACAGGUUUUCUGAAGACAGACUGGGAGAAACUGUUGGCUGCUUUGGGAGAAGCCGGGUGGAGCUGGGAGCAAGCGACGCAGGAGCCCUUGGAUAAGGAUGAGAUCCAGCACCGGGCAGGGAUGGGGAGCAGCCCCCAGCAGAGCCGCCCACACCAGCAGCCCUCCUGGAGGAGACCUGGCGCUUCCCCUCUGUCCCCCGAGGAGCCCCUUGCUCCAGCUUCCUCCUCCUCUUCCCCCCUGUUUGUCUCUCAUGUACAUGCCCCGUUUUCUUCCUGCUUUCUCCCGUGCCCGUUGAGUGGGGAAGGACCCGUGGGUCUCACUGCACAGACUGGCACGGCCAGGUUUGGUUUGAAUAUUUUUAGAUUCAGCAUUUAGUGUGAAUAAAUUGUUCUUGCUUCUCUCCCUGAUUAUUUAC
Molecule: long non-coding RNA, 1095 nt
Filed under: Anser cygnoides (Swan goose)
Lineage: Eukaryota; Metazoa; Chordata; Aves; Anseriformes; Anatidae
Description: lncRNA (ENSACDG00005016367.1)
Source: RNAcentral